AGCAGCCGCGGUAAUUCCAGCUCCAAUAGCGUAUAUUAAAGUUGUUGCAGUUAAAAAGCUCGUAGCUGAAUUUCGGGGUUAGUAAGUUGGUCAUGCCUUCGGUAUGUACUGGCUUUACUGAUUCCUCCUUCUUGACGAACCGUGAUGUCAUUAAUUUGGUGUUGCGGGAAAUCAGGACUGUUACUUUGAAAAAUUGGAGUGUUUAAAGCAGGCUAACGCUUGAAUACAUUAGCAUGGAAUAAUGAAAUAGGACGUUAAUCCUAUUUUGUUGGUUUCUAGGAUCGACGUAAUGAUUAAUAGGGAUAGUUGGGGGCAUUAGUAUUCAAUUGUCAGAGGUGAAAUUCUUGGAUUUAUUGAAGACUAACUACUGCGGAAGCAUUUGCCAAGGAUGUUUUCAUUAAUCAAGAACGAAAGUUAGGGGAUCGAAGACGAUCAGAUACCGUCGUAGUC
This 450-nucleotide ribosomal RNA is filed under the name uncultured Glomus. Its description in RNAcentral is "SSU rRNA". It matches the Rfam family "Eukaryotic small subunit ribosomal RNA", at positions 569 to 1025 of the family's 1831-position model. The record is from RNAcentral. Lineage: Eukaryota; Fungi; Glomeromycota; Glomeromycetes; Glomerales; Glomeraceae.